Molecule: small nucleolar RNA, 107 nt
Organism: Erinaceus europaeus (western European hedgehog)
Lineage: Eukaryota; Metazoa; Chordata; Mammalia; Eulipotyphla; Erinaceidae
Source: Ensembl
CAGAUACUGAAAAUAUGAAUAAGUGUGUAUAUCCAUAGCAACAACUGAGUUUCCAGGGCUAUCAAGCUUACAGUGAGUUUGAAUAGUAAUGUAUUUCUCCUACAUAA